CGCGGGGUGGAGCAGUUGGCAGCUCGUCGGGCUCAUAACCCGAAGGUCGGAGGUUCGAGUCCUCCCCCCGCUA
Molecule: transfer RNA, 73 nt
Filed under: Alistipes sp.
Lineage: Bacteria; Pseudomonadati; Bacteroidota; Bacteroidia; Bacteroidales; Rikenellaceae
Also listed under: 3 other names
Description: tRNA-Met
Rfam family: tRNA
About the family: Transfer RNA (tRNA) molecules are approximately 80 nucleotides in length. Their secondary structure includes four short double-helical elements and three loops (D, anti-codon, and T loops).
Source: RNAcentral